RNAcentral lists this ribosomal RNA (699 nucleotides) under Triticum aestivum (bread wheat). RNAcentral describes it as "partial small subunit ribosomal RNA". Lineage: Eukaryota; Viridiplantae; Streptophyta; Magnoliopsida; Poales; Poaceae. The record is from RNAcentral.
AUGCUGCUAUUUGAGGCUUCCGGCCAGCAGGCGCACAUUGUCAAGGGGCUGUUGAACACUUAUACCUCAGCUACGGGUCAACUCAUUAACCCAGAAAAGUGUUCCAUCCUUUUCUCAGACAACUGCUCUGCUGUGGUGGUAGAUGAUGUCAAGAGUAUCCUGGAAAUUAAGCAGCAAGUGUUCGAACCUAAGUAUCUCGGCCUUCCUGUUCCGGAAGGAAGAGUGCACAAGGGACAAUUUGAAUCCCUACAAGAAAGGUUGAGGAAGAGAUUAAUUGAUUGGAGUGAACAAUAUGUCUCAAUGGGCAACAAAGAAAUCUUGAUCAAGGCAGUAGCGCAAGCAAUACCUACAUAUGUUAUGAGUGUAUUUCGGCUACCGGCCUCUGUGUGUGAUGACUUAACACGUAUGAUGAGACAGUAUUGGUGGGGAGUAGAGAAUGGAAAGAGGAAAAUGGCCUGGCUCAGCUGGGAGAAAAUGAUCUUACCCAAGGAUAUGGGGGGCAUGGGUUUUAGAGAUAUGAGGGCGUUUAACCGGGCGCUUCUUGCAAAACAAGCCUGGAGGUUGCUUGAAAGUCCUGAUACUUUAUGUGCUCGUUUGGUACGAGCUAAAUAUUAUCCCAAUGGGAAUCUGCUUGAUACACUCUUCCCUUCUGGUUCGUCUGUUGUAUGGAAGGGAAUCAUGUACGGUCUCGAUCUUUUG